Molecule: long non-coding RNA, 1559 nt
Filed under: Phascolarctos cinereus (koala)
Lineage: Eukaryota; Metazoa; Chordata; Mammalia; Diprotodontia; Phascolarctidae
Description: lncRNA (ENSPCIG00000025300.2)
Source: RNAcentral
AGGAAGCCUGACCUUGAGAGAUUUCCAGUCCAAUUUCUGUAGACUCUGAAGGAUCAGAUAACCCCAGGUUAAGCAAUUAGAGGCUUACCCAGAUGGAGACUCUGAACUGUGCAACUCUUCAUUCAUCUGCAUUUUCCUCUCCUUGGCAUUAUGUCUCAGUUGGGUGGAUUAACUGAAUUCAUUAAAAAAAAAUGUAGCUAUAAUAAUGGAGAGAAUAACGUUCUUCAUACUAAUUCCCGAACUGCAAAUUCAGACUCAAAAUAUUUCUGAGAAUUCCACAAAUUAACCGUAUUGGAGCUGGAUUACCCUCACGGACUAAGCUAUUGGCCACCACUGCCUGGACAUGACCUUGAUCCAUAAAGCUUCGAGAAUGGCAUUUUCACUAGGUGUUGCCAUGCCAGAGACUCAUAAACUCCAAACGGUAUGGAAUGAGAAACAUUCAAAACAUAGAGACCCAGCCGAGGAAAUCAAAUACAUGUGGCAGCAGGCAUCUCAUCCGAAGGCAUCCCCUCCCUCUAGUCGCCUACUGAACUCAUCCCGAAGGUGGCUUCAGUGAGUCUGCGGAAGAGGGGCUGACAUCCCAGUGCUCUUAUUCAGGUCCCAAAAGAAGACAUUUUAUCCGUCAACUACAAAAGGAUAGCACACUCAUGAUAACUAGCAUUUAUAUAGGGCUUUAAGGUUAGUAACUCAUUUGAGCCUCACAGCAAUCCUGGGAGACAGAUGCGAUUAUUAUCCCCCUUUUGCAGAUGAGGAAAUGGAAGAAAGAGGAAGUGACUUGCCCAAAGUUACCUCACAAAGGACAAAGAGAAGAGUUAAGCUGGGUAAGACUGGUUGUAUCCGAGAAGCACAGCUGAGAUGUUCUUGGUUUUCAAAGGGUCUUCCCUUGUCUUUGUGUUUGGGUACUCUGCAAGUGCAGCCAGAUGCACACACGUUUCGUGCUAUCAGCUCCAGAUGUCGAUGGAGAAUCCAUCAAGUUAAGCCCAACGAAGUCCCACCUGUCAAGCCAGGAGCUGGUUAGCAGCAGCAUUCUUCCUCGAGGAGCGCAAACCAGGGAAUAUCCAUUUUCCUUGCUGACACCCUGAGGUUGUAAGGCAGCCCGAGUGCUCGGGCCGUUUACAUGAAGCCCAUCCUAAUUGCAUAGCACUGCUCCGUAAAAAGAAGAUUAGGCCUCAUUAUCCAGGAACGCAUUUGGCAUUUUUCUCCUCUGACUGAAACUGUUUAAAGUGCUGGACACUAUCUCUCUCCCUGUCUAUACAUCAAUUCCUCUGCUGUCAAAAUGCCCCAGCCACAUCCUGCCUUUUCUCAGGGUUGAAAAUGUUCAAAUUGGGUCAACUAAGAGGGGAAAAAAUGUUAUCAUUUCACCAGUUCCCCCCCCCACCUUAGGAAAGGUUCCCCAGCUUUUCUGUCUUUGCUUUUCUUAUUCUGAGUUAUAGUAAAACCUCUGCUAACGAGAUGGUAUGGUUCUGGGUAAUUUGAUUUCUUGUCUUUUGUCUACCUCAAGGCCAAGAGGAAAAAUCCUUUUAGCCCUACUUCAAAAUCUUUCUAAAAUAUGUUUGGCU